GCAGCAGGCGCGAAACCUUUACACUGCGCGACAGCGCGAUAAGGGGACUCCAAGUGCUAGGGCAUAUCGUCCUAGCUUUUCUGUACCGUAAGGUGGUACAGGAAUAAGUGCUGGGCAAGACCGGUGCCAGCCGCCGCGGUAAUACCGGCAGCACAAGUGAUGACCGCUCUUAUUGGGCCUAAAGCGUCCGUAGCUGGCCUCGCAAGUCCAUCGGGAAAUCCGCACGCUUAACGUGCGGGCGUCCGGUGGAAACUGCGUGGCUUGGGACCGGAAGAUCCAGAGGGUACGUCUGGGGUAGGAGUGAAAUCCUGUAAUCCUGGACGGACCACCGGUGGCGAAAGCGCCUCGGGAAGACGGAUCCGACGGUGAGGGACGAAAGCUCGGGUCACGAACCGGAUUAGAUACCCGGGUAGUCCGAGCUGUAAACGAUGUCUGCUAGGUGUGACACAGGCUACGAGCCUGUGUUGUGCCGUAGGGAAGCCGUGAAGCAGACCGCCUGGGAAGUACGUCCGCAAGGAUGAAACUUAAAGGAAUUGGCGGGGGAGCACUACAACCGGAGGAGCCUGCGGUUUAAUUGGAGUCAACGCCGG
Molecule: ribosomal RNA, 590 nt
Filed under: uncultured haloarchaeon
Lineage: Archaea; Methanobacteriati; Methanobacteriota; Halobacteria; Halobacteriales; Halobacteriaceae
Description: bacterial SSU rRNA
Rfam family: Archaeal small subunit ribosomal RNA
Source: RNAcentral